GUAAUCACUUGUCUUCUAAAUAAAGACUCGUAUGAACGGCUAAAUGAGGACAAACCUGUCUCCUAUGUCCAAUCAGUGAAACUGAUCUCCCAGUACAAAAGCUGGGAUAGACCCAUAAGACGAGAAGACCCUGUGGAGCUUCAAACCAACCACUACCAACCCCCUAGUGACAGGUUUUUAGUUGGGGCGACUUCGGAACUAAACAGAACUUCCGAGAACAAAGGCACCACCUUUAUUUGAGGCCUACUGGCCAAAAACAUACAAUCGACCCAGUCUUACUGAGCAACGAACCAAGUUACCCCAGGGAUAACAGCGCCAUCUUCUUCAAGAGUCCCUAUCGACAAGAAGGUUUACGACCUCGAUGUUGGAUCAGGACACCCAAAUGGUGCAGCCGCUAUUAAAGGUUCGUUUGUUCAACGAUUAACAGU
This 428-nucleotide ribosomal RNA is filed under the name Dravidoseps pruthi. RNAcentral's name for it is "Subdoluseps pruthi partial 16S ribosomal RNA". It matches the Rfam family "Bacterial large subunit ribosomal RNA", at positions 1961 to 2594 of the family's 2925-position model. The record is from RNAcentral. Lineage: Eukaryota; Metazoa; Chordata; Lepidosauria; Squamata; Scincidae.